UACGAAGGGUGCAAGCGUUACUCGGAAUCACUGGGCGUAAAGCGUGCGCAGGCGGUUCGCCAAGUCUGAUGUGAAAGCCCCGGGCUCAACCUGGGAACUGCAUUGGAAACUAACGGGCUCGAGUGUGGCAGAGGGGGGUGGAAUUCCACGUGUAGCAGUGAAAUGCGUAGAGAUGUGGAGGAACACCGAUGGCGUAGGCAGCCCCCUGGGCUAACACUGACGCUCAGGCACGAAAGCGUGGGGAGCAAACAGG
RNAcentral lists this ribosomal RNA (253 nucleotides) under uncultured bacterium. Its description in RNAcentral is "partial 16S ribosomal RNA". It matches the Rfam family "Bacterial small subunit ribosomal RNA", at positions 524 to 776 of the family's 1533-position model. The record is from RNAcentral.